RNAcentral lists this long non-coding RNA (501 nucleotides) under Cicer arietinum (chickpea). RNAcentral's name for it is "long non-coding RNA (CARI_LNC001713)". The record is from RNAcentral. Lineage: Eukaryota; Viridiplantae; Streptophyta; Magnoliopsida; Fabales; Fabaceae.
CUCAAGCAUAUGGAACAAACAUAUACAAUCCCCAACUCAACUACGAUAUGUCAUCUAAUUGGUACAAUCCUUGUUCGAGAAACCAUCCCAACUUGAGAUAGGAGAAUUCAUCUGCACAACAACAAUCUAUGCAACAAAAGAAUAAUGUGCAUCAGCAGAAUAACACGUUACAACAUAACAACACACCUUCAUUGGAAGACCUUGUCAAACAAAUGAUUGUCCAAAAUAUCCAAUUUCAACAAAGGACAUAUUCCACCAUUCAUAAUUUGGAGACCAGAAUUGGACAAUUGGCCCCUUCCAUUAAUCAGAUGCAUACUUAGGGGUUAAGCCAACUACCUGCCCAGUCAGUAGUAAAUCCAAAUGUUCCUAAUGUCAAUGCAAUUAUCUUGAGGUUUGAAAAAACAGUUGAAAUACCAAAGGUACCUGAACUUGGAACUGUUACUGUGAAAAAUAACAAAGUUGUUAAGGACAUUCUAGUACUCGAGCUUAUUAAUGUUGAGC